UAUAAGCCUCUGCUGAUGUGUACAUAGUUUAUACUAAGUGGCCCAUAGGUUGAGGAGGCAGUGACCGUGGCGGUGGAGGAGGAGGAUGAGGUAGCCAACACUGUUUUUUAUAUAUAUAUUUUUUAAUUGGGCUAGCCCCCAAAAUUUUGGGACAUAUAAAAAAAGACAACUCUGUUCUGCAGAGUAGCUGUUGACAUAGUUACGCAGGCACUUUGUUGACUCUAGAGAACCUCGGGCCAAUCACACAUCCCUGUGGCAGCGACUUUGCAUGCGGAUGUCGUUCAUAUCAACUUUCGAUGCCAGUUUCUGCGCCUACCAUGGUGACCACGGGUAACAGGGAAUCAGGAUUCCAUUACGUACAGGGACCCUGAGAAACAGCUACCACAUGCAAGGAAGGCAGCA
Non-coding RNA from Pelobates cultripes (western spadefoot toad), 402 nucleotides. The record is from the annotation of a GenBank genome assembly. NCBI's taxonomy places the organism in Eukaryota, Metazoa, Chordata, Amphibia, Anura, Pelobatidae.